GACGAACGCUGGCGGCGUGCUUAACACAUGCAAGUCGAGCGGUAAGGCCCUUUCGGGGGUACACGAGCGGCGAACGGGUGAGUAACACGUGGGUGACCUGCCCUCAGCUCUGGGAUAAGCCUGGGAAACUGGGUCUAAUACCGGAUAUGACUCCAUGACGCAUGUUGUGGGGUGGAAAGCCUUGUGCGGCUGAGGAUGGGCCCGCGGCCUAUCAGCUUGUUGGU
This 224-nucleotide ribosomal RNA is filed under the name uncultured bacterium. RNAcentral's name for it is "partial 16S ribosomal RNA". It matches the Rfam family "Bacterial small subunit ribosomal RNA", at positions 28 to 253 of the family's 1533-position model. The record is from RNAcentral.